GAUGAACGCUGGCGGCGUGCCUAACACAUGCAAGUCGAGCGAAGCGCCUUACUUGAUUUCUUCGGGAUGAAAGUAUUGUGACUGAGCGGCGGACGGGUGAGUAACGCGUGGAUAACCUGCCUCAUACAGGGGGAUAACAGUUAGAAAUGACUGCUAAUACCGCAUAAGACCACAGCACCGCAUGGUGCAGGGGUAAAAACUCCGGUGGUAUGAGAUGGAUCCGCGUUGGAUUAGCUAGUUGGCAGGGCAGCGGCCUACCAAGGCGACGAUCCAUAGCCGGCCUGAGAGGGUGAACGGCCACAUUGGGACUGAGACACGGCCCAG
Molecule: ribosomal RNA, 324 nt
Filed under: uncultured bacterium
Lineage: Bacteria
Description: bacterial SSU rRNA
Rfam family: Bacterial small subunit ribosomal RNA
Source: RNAcentral